UAUCACUUCAUCAGAGUCAUUCCAUCCUCGUAUCAUUGUCUCCAAAUCACUAAAACCACAUUCCAUUCCAUCUGAGCCACGGAUAACAGAUGCUCCAUCUCCAUCUUCGAAUCUGUCAUAAACAAUCUGAUCCAUAAAAGAUAUUGAAUUGACAAGCUGGAUGGAUGUAGGCGACGUUAAUGCGGGGACAUUGAAUAAGUCACAUCCUUUGGGAAAGAUGUCUUCGUUCAUUUAUAGCAUGUGUUGGUGGUUCAUGCUGUAACAGAACACCAUGAUGUAACGUGUAAUAUGAAACGAGCCAUUUAUGGUAACACAUGUACCGGUAAUUUUGGAAUAUAUAAUAUU
Molecule: long non-coding RNA, 345 nt
Filed under: Helianthus annuus (common sunflower)
Lineage: Eukaryota; Viridiplantae; Streptophyta; Magnoliopsida; Asterales; Asteraceae
Description: sRNA HanXRQr2_Chr05g0220301
Source: RNAcentral